AGACUUCUGUGAGGCAAGUUAAGGACAUAGGAUUUGCAUAGAAUGAGACUGACAAGGCCAUGAAGCAUCUAAUCAGCUUGUCAGCUGCAUCCUGCAGGUUGCUACGACAAAAGAUUUUCUCCAAAAUAUACAGGAUGCCAUGGAGACUGACUGAAAAAAAGCUCUUAAUCCCUGCUUUGCUGGUGCUGACAGGAGAAUAGAUCUCUAGACACAUAGCAUAUUUGGUAAGCAGGAAGCUGGAGACUGAGGUGGUCAAAAGGGUGAAAACUUGCCUGUCUGUGGCAGUCCAGCUUUUCCUCAUAACUAUAUCACAGGAUAUUAAUUUGCCAAACAGGCUAUAAUCCAGCUACAAAAAUCUGGGCUUUGGGGAUUGCUAGUCAUGAAGCACAUGACUUUACAGAAAAGCUGGUGAAUGGUUUUAUGCCAGGAACGGUGCAAAAUAAACUCACUUAGCAACCUGAGAGAAUAUUUACAGUCUACAGAUUUAACUACACAGAUGUAGAGGAAGGUGAGCCCUCCAUCUUCUGUAAUUUGAGACGACUCAAAGAAUGCUUCUUGGAGAGAAUUCCAUUUUAAUUUUUUCCCUGUUUUUUACUUAAUACACUUCUAAUGCCGUACACUUGUGUUGUUCUUACUUGAACAUCAACGAUUUUUAUGUUGGAGUUGUAUGAUAAACUUGCAUUUGAUUGACAUCAAGUUAUGCAGGUCACAGAUCCAUAAUCCAAAACUUACAGCAAUCUUGGCUCAGACAGGUUUAUUAGAUAAAGCGCAGUGUCCCACCUAUUGCUUUUAUUUCUACCUGCUACCAUUCUGGAGUAGUGAAUUUUGGAGAGAUCACAUUAUUUUUCUGUGGAAAUGUAUAUGUUUCUAUUUCAGGAAUUGCUAAUCAGACAAGGAAGGGAAAUUCUCCUUAACAAGUGUCAGGCCCAGUGGAGCUUCUGCCGUGCAUGAUCCAAACUAACUCCAGGAAGAGCAGCUGUCCUUGCUCUCUUCCUGUAGGGAUGAGGAGGCUCCUGUGCUGGGGCCAGCCCUGGUAAGAAAAAGGGAGGAUGUUGCUGGCGUCCUAAGUAGCGGUCUCAUCAAUGCUACAGUGCACUCAGCAGGACCCAAACUGAUGUCUGAUGAUGUCUGUGCUUUGUCGGUGUCCUAAAUGACUCAGGGGACACUGAACUAUUGUGUCACUCAAGCUUGUUCAUAAUUUAGGAUAACUUGGUUCCUACAAUCACAGCAAUAGAGACACAAUUGAAUUAAUCUAUUUAUGCUGCAUAACUUGGCACCUCUGAAACUGUUGCUGAAUGAUUUCGUAUUCCUUGUAGAGAUCCAAUAAAAUCUGUAGAAAAGAGCAAUAAACACUAGCAACAGAUCAUUUCAGUUUUAGUGCAGUAUAUUUCUUUGUGACUGUAAGAAGGAUAACGUGCAUGAAAAAAAUAAAUGACCCUUCUCCUUGACUGCGAAGUGUUGCUGAUUUUUCUUACUGUCCUUCUAAGUAAGAAACUUCAGUUUCUCUUUCAGGAGGGCUAAAUUGAUGGUAAUGUUGACAGACAAAAAGAAAAUCAAUUACAUUUUCAAUGCAGAUAUUAAUUUAGAGGUGGUCUGUGGACUAAUGUUACAAGAAAUUUUACUUUAAAAUUACAUUAUGACUGACUAACAUUAAUCUGUUUCAUUUGUAAGGUAUGCAUACUAAAUAACUGAUAUAAAUAGUUGCUCCUAUUGAAAAAACACUCAACUACCAAUAAAAUUCAAGUAUAAAACCGAUGAGACAGCUUUUUAGGCACCACCCCAAUUACUCCAGGAGUUCACAAAGCAACAUCUGCAGUCAUUAAAUAGUAUCUAUUUACUGUAGAAUUUACUGAUUAGAGCAAUUAAUCUCUUAAAACAUUUGCUUUGACUCCCUUAGAGCACACAUCUCUCUCAGGCUAUUGAAGCAUUUCUCUGGCUGCAUAUUCUAAGUCAAGAAGAUACCCACUGAUUCAGUAGACUUUGGAUUAGUUCCUUGGCUGUUGUUCAAUACAGCAUGGAAAACUUUUCCCUAUCUGUCAUGUGCUAAGUAUGGAAUACGAUCACACAAUCUCUAUGCAGUGUUCAUACUGCUUCUUACAUCUUGAUAGAAUCCAGAGUAACAGACAGCUCAGCUGUGCUACAUAAUGGAAAAGAAUGAAUAAAACAAGUAGAUCAGGGUCUGUACAAUAUAAUGCAGAAGUACCAUUGCAAGGAGCCAGCCAAUGUUACAAAUCCUGUUUCAGUGCUGGGCUUGCAAGACUCAGGCUAUUCUCCAGAAUUCUUGAUUGUGAACUUUAACUCAUGCACAGAUAAAACUUGGAUCCAUUGAGCCUAUUACUCAAAGCUCUGUGGGAAAGUAGGUGUACAUCUGGGUCUGUUCCAGCCCUGGAAGCAGUACAGCUGUAUUAACAAUGUGCUUCGUGUAUCACUAAAUGCCCUGCUGGACUUGAUGUUUUGUAUCCCUAGCACGGAUGAUCAACAGAGCACAUUACCUGCUUAAGGAUAAAUGAGAGUUGGCUGCAUUUGCCAAAUGUGAAUCAGUGUUUCUGUUAGAUGUAGUGUGUAAACUUGAAGUUAUAUACAGUUCUUUUAGACCACCAGUUCCAUAGGAUUCUUAUUAUCUUUUUGAUUGUUAAUAAUAAUAAAAAAAAGAAUGUUGGCAAGAAAAACAACUGUAGGCUAAUCACAUAUCAAAAAAUGUUAUUAAAAAUAAAAUUAUAUCUCAAAGUUUUUAAUAGGUUUUUGCUGUAAUAUAAUUACAUACUAAAAACAAAUUGAAAAUUGGUAUUUUAUCACAGAAUCAUAGAAUAUCUUGGGUUGGAAAGAACCUUAAAGUCUACCUAGUUCCAACCUCUGCUUUGGGCAUGGCUGCCACCCCCCAGCUCAGCUGCCCAGGCCCCAUCUAACUUGGUUUCCAAUACCUCCAGGGAUGGGGCACUCACAAUUUCUCUGGGCAGUUGUGCCAGUGCCUCACCACCCUCUGAGAAAAAAGAAAUCCUGAUGUGUAAUCUAAAUCUCCUACCUUUUAGUUUGAAAACAUUACCCCAAGUGAUGAUUAAAGUAUUGUAUUAAAUGCUUCCUUACAUUGCUAUAAGAGGGCCUGAACCUUGGAGAUUAAAUGGAAGAAAAAGAAAAAGCCAGUGUAAGAUGUAGUAAGUAAGAAUAAGAGUAAAUAUUUGAAAUGUAUUGGAGCAGGUCCGGAGGAGGACCAUGAAGAUGAUCAGAGGGCUGGAACAUCUCCCACAUGAGGACAGCCUGAGAGAGCUGGGGUGCUUCAGUAUGGAGAAGGCUCUGAGGAGACCUUAUAGUGGCCUUCCAGUACCUGAAGUAUGCCUACAGGAAAGCUGGGGAGGGACUUUUUGUAAGAGCUACAGGAUGAGGGGAAAUGGUUUUAAACUGAAAGAGGGUAGAUUUAGAUUAGAUAUUAUGAAGAAAUUCUUAACUGUGAGGGUGGUGAGACACUGGAACAGGUUGCCCAGUGAGGUUGUGAAUGACCCUUCCCUGGACGCAUUCAAGGCCAGGCUGGAUGGGGCUGUGAACAACCUGGUGUAGAGGGACAUAUCCCUGCCUACAGCAGGGGGAUUGGAACUAGGUGAUCUUAAAGGUCCCUUCCAACCCAAACCAUUCUAUGAUUCUAUUCUAUGAAAUUAAUUAGUUAAUAAUAAUAGUUCUGUAUUGUAAUUGAAAGCCUUAAAAAAAAGUAUAUUCUUACAUAUGAUCAAAGUAUAUCACAAAGAAACAGAAAAAAAAAAAAAGCUAAAGAAAGGUCAAUGUCAGUUGAAGUUAUUCAGGACAGUAUAUCAGUGGAUAUAUAUAUCAUGGAUCCAUUUAAUCAUGUUGAUCUGUUGAACUGCAGGUAUGCAGAUUCAAAUAAGAUAAUUCUGAGAUUCAGAAUUAUAUUUACAGUUCAUUUUAAAAUGCUGGCCCAAGGAAAAUUAUUGUUGUCUGGCAAAGUAUCUCUUAGUCUGUUAUUCUGCUUUGUACAAAUGUAUUUAAAACAAAUGUAUGUAUGUCGAAGGACAUUUGAAAGACAGGGAUUUUUAGUAGAAAUUUUGUGUGAGUCUUCUGAAUCUACUCAGAAAUUUAAAAUAUCAGGAGCCUUACAGGAUUUACCUUCCCAAGGAUUGACAAACAGGCUGAUUCGGUAAGAUGAAACAGUAAUUAAGUACUUUCAUAUAUUCAGUUCCAGACGGGUUAGUAACACAUUCCAAGCUGAUAUGAAUGGCACAAUUUGUCCUCUGGAAUUGCAUCUUUCUCUCCACUAAGAAUGAAGUGAAGGCCAGAGAGGUGAAGCUCCAUUCCUAUAACCAGGCUUGCACAUCUUUACACUCUGUAAGUCUGGCUCAGCUACAGAUACUUAUGCACACGAAUAACCUUUUCACAUCAAUAUCCUCCUGAAGACCACAGAGUAACAGUUAACUGAAGAAAAGAAUGUGUAUACAUCUCUAGGGUCAUACCUCAUUCUGUGUCUCUAUUUUUGAAUAUGUUUCCAAUUCAGAGGUUACUGUUAAAAAUUCUUGCACAUCAUAAGGCUUAUGUUCAGGAAAGAGGGUGUCAUCAAUGACUGUGUAUCUCAGGGCAUUAUGUCCUUUCUAAGGAAACAGAAAACUGUGGUGAGUAGCAGCGAAGAAAUUGUCUAGUAUAAAACUGAAACUGAAAUUUAUUUUCAAAGUGGAGAAAAGGGGGUGCCAAGAAGGAACACUUGCCUGAUCCAAACACACUGGCAUCUACUUUGGUGUUUUUAGUUCAGACUGUGAAUCCAAAAUAUAAUCCUGUUUUCAUUGACAGUGAAGAUCUUAACCAGCAUAGAUAUUGGCUUGGAUUGCCCAACCAAAAUCCCAGGAGUUGCUCAUUAAUUCAGCAAGCCACAUUUCCUGUAAGAGAGAAUUACCUGAAGAUAGAUUGACAAUGGUGAUCUGUUUCAGUCUCUUUCAUUACUAGAUGCUUUAGCUAUUGUUUUUCCCUGGGACAAUAGUUUUUAUUACUGCUUAUCCAUAUUUCCAGAAAUAUAGCAAAUCAUGUGCAUCUUGAAAUAAAAUGGAAGCAUGAAAAUGAUACUAAAAAUCAUUCAAAAGUCGUUGAAAAUAAAAUAUUUGUUUGUUUCAGACUUAGAAAAUAUACAGCCAGACAAUAUAAAUUAGGUAAUUUCCUUACCUGUUUCACUCUAACCUAGACAGGUUCAACAAGUUCAGAAACACUGGUGAAAAGGCAAGAUAAGAGGUAGGUAGUCUGGGCUAGCUUGUGUAUGUAUAUUCAUGAGGUGGGAUGACUGUCAGUGAGAUAUUGGUGGGAGUACUGGGUCACUUGCCUGGGUUUUGGAAUGAAAUAUCCAAAGAAAAACCAUCUUGUGUGAUCUUGAAAAUCAAUUCAUUAACAGGAAAGCUGUGUCACAUGGAGUAGUGCAUAUUAUUUCUAUUUGUAAAUAUUUUCAAGAUGCGAAAAUGACAAAGAAGGCCACACAAAUACUGUAAAAAAAGAUAGAAAUAACAGAUCCAGUACUUAUUUAGGAAAGUAAACAAAACAAAACAAAUAAACAUUUCUUUUCUCUUUUGUUUGGUGACACUCCGGCUGCAAAAAUUAGAGUUAUGGCUCUUCUAACUUCCCAGUACAAAAGAAAUACUGUUCUUUGUUCUGUCCGAAUGCCUAGGUUUUCAUGGGUUGGGUUUUCAUGGGUUGGGUUUUCAUGACUCAUUUCUCCUUUACUGCAUCUGGGUGCUGGUACCUGGAGAAAUGAAUAAGAAUGGGUAGAACAUACCCGUCUUGGUUAUCCUGCAAAUCUGAAAGUGUUUUGAUAUUCUGGUCCACACUGAUGGCAUGAGUAGUUUUUCUCUUUUAUCUCUGUCAAGAAUUUUUAGAUUUGAGAUAUCUGCUUUACAAUUCAGGUGGAGCAUGAGAGAGAACCUGGGCUGAAGUUAAAUAUGUCACAUCCAGAACACAGCAUGAAUAAUUUUCCUCUGAUUUACAGUUUGGUGUAACUUGUUAUGAAGAUGUCAGUAGUUUGUCUUUUUCUCCUUUUAAAGUGGUGACACAGUGAAUGACCAGAACAUGCUCUCUGCAUUGAUUAGUAGUAGAAGCUUUAGCAUGACUAGCUCUAAACAGACAUUUGAAAGACGAGAGAGAAGAAUUUUUUAAAAUGGCACAGUGUGAAAAUUUCACUUGUAGGGUCUUUAUAUGGAGCAAAGAGGUUAUCCACCUAAGGACAAAUAUAAAGUGCAAUGAAAGCUCAAUUUAAAAGCAAGACACCUGCAGCUUGCAGCUCAAUAAACUCUUUUUUUUUCUUUUUUUCUUUUUUUUUUGGGGGGGGGAGGAAAAUUAAUAGUGAAAGAUUGAGACUAAUUUUCAUGUUUUUAACUUCAAUACUCAAGUAUUAUCUGUUCAUCCAAUGUUUUGCUGCAACCUGUGGUUACUGUGUCUACCAUCCACACUAGACGAUGGGAAGAGGACCUGCACAAUAGGAAAUGUUCUUGCUUAACCCCAGGCAACAGCCCUAACUGAGCAUGAUAAUUCAAAAGAAGGAUUGAUCAAAAUGGGAAACUGCAGACCUCUGGUGACAUUGCAAAUGAGGUGAAGGAAACAGCACAAUUAUUUGUGUAGAUAUGGUGGCAUGGCAUCCCCCUGGAAUUCAGGCUGAGACAGGGAGACUUGGGCAACUCCUAGAAGAGACCAGUAAAGCCAGUUGCAGAACAAACUCUGUCUUCCUUUGUAUCUCAUAUUUUUCACCUGAUUUUAAAUAUGCUUUUCUCUCCACUCCUGCUGUAACGGUAAGCAGGAAUUUAUUCUUAGUUCCUAAAACAGAAGCAGGAAAGCAGUGUUAAUAAUUACUUUUACAAAUCUGUAAUGAGAUAAAAAAAACAAGUGCCUUAACCUAGGUAGAGAAGAAUUAUUUGUGGGGCUUUAGCUUUCUUUCAAUUAAGAACAAAAAUCAGAAGGAAUUCCAGUUAGAAAAAAAUGAACUUAAAAUUUUACUACGAUUGAGAAGACUCAAUAUCACAACAGUAAUACUCAGAUUGCCCAGCCUAGUGUGAAUACAGAAACAUGGGAAUAUAGUUUAUGUCUCAGCUGGAAUCAGCUUGCUCAUAUCUAUGAUACUCAAAAUUGUAUGAACUAUAUGAACAUCACUGUUUUGCUUGAUUCCUGUAAGCACAUCAUGCAACUGAGUUCUGGUGAGGAGGAAGCAAUGCUAUUUGCCUUUAUAUUAUGUGAUUUGGGUGGGAGGGCUGUGUUGUUUCUGUUGUUGUUUUUUCUUGGCAUUUGUGUUGAUAUAAUAUAUAUUCGUCAUUUAUAAUAUGCCAGUAAAAAUCUGUUAAAGAUGCUGUCGUUGAGUUACUCAAGUACAAAAAGCUUGCAGAAAUAGUAUUCUCCAAGUUUACUGUAAUUUUCAAGAAGCUUAUAAAAUGUAUAUACAUUUGAAGGGUUAGUUGAGAAAUUUCCCACUAGUCAUUGCUGCUAUAGUUAUGUUGUAUGAACAAAAGGCAACAUGUUUACUGUCUUUGUUUUGCUUUUUCAGGCUCUGUAAUCUGCAGUGAACCAUGCACUGAAUUUCUGCCUCUGCAGUAUGAGACUGAGAGGAAGAAUGCAUGGAGUGAUACCCCAGAUGCAGUGUGGGAGUGUUUGCUGAGCUACACCAGACUACACCAGAAAGAGAGGAAAAUUCUCUUUACACUGGAUAACUUAAAACUGCACUGAUUCCAAGAAACUGCAUUGACUCCAAGAACUGAUGAAGGAACUUGACAAGUAUCAUGUAAACGUCUCCUGGCACAGAGAUAUGACUUGGCCUAAGAGAUACCCUUCAUGACUGUUGUCUAAUACCAACAUGUUUUAAAUGGCACCCUUAUGUCUAGCAUUGCUUUUGGCCUUUCUCCUCCUCACAUCCUCAUAGCCUUAGCAAUGUCUAGCUGUGGGUAUUCCUCCAACCCCAUAUCAUCCACUCUUUAAAUUGAAUUGGAAGAUUUGGACGCUUUUCUUUCAUUAAAAUGUAAAACAAACAAAAGAAAAAAAUUGAAACAACAACAACAAAACAAACAAACAAACAAACAAAAAAACCAACCCACAAACAAAACCAAAACAAAACAGAACACAGGUUGAACUAUGACAGCACACACGUCAGUGCAACCCAGGCUCAGGUCUUUCUGGCAGAUACCUGGCAAGGAGUGCGCAAGUAUGACAAUGGUGCAGUGGUAUUCUGCUGUAACACCAUCCUGCCCUUGUGCUGUGCUCUGUAAGGGAUGUAGGCUUUGUGACUGCUUGGCUCAGUGCACAGACAGUGUUUCAUGAUCUUGAAAGUUUUACCAAAUUAACAAUCUUUACUGAAGCAUAGAUGUAGCGGAGCCUCAUCCAACACUAUGAAUAGGAUAAACAUGCUGGGUUACAUUCAUUUUGCACUUCAUAUUUGUAUAUAAAUCUAAAAUAACUCUGUAAAAACAUGAAAAGUAAGUUUGCACAGUGAAGGCAAAAGGAUGCACUGGUCAGGAUGCGCUCACUUUUUAGGCUUUCAGAUGAGGUAUCUUAAAUAGGAGCUUAAUUCCUCCAGGUGCUCUUCUCAAAGGAAAUACAGAUGUCUUCCACAUAAAGGAUCAGCUUUGUAUAGAAAAGGUCACUGAAGUUACUCCAAUUAUGUUUUCUAAGAAUUAUGGUUUAUCUGUCAUUUGCUACAAAUUGUCUCAUUGUCUUCCUGCCUCUGAACACCUCAACUGCUGAAUUUCUUAAAAAAAUAAAUAAAUAAAAUGAAAUUGCACCCAGAGUUAUUUUCUGGUCCUUUUAUAAAAGACUGAAUGGUAAACGCACAGGUUACAUUUCUGUGUUGUCAUCUUUUGGUCUGACUGUUACUCUCCUAUGAGAACUGAUCUCACUCUCUGGUUAAUAACUAACACUUGUAAGGUAUCAAAAACAUCAUUCAUUCACAUUUUUUUCUUAAAUACAGAAUUAAUUUAAUUCACAAUGAACUUUCCUCUUAUUGUAGUAGCUUUCAGUUUUUGUGUAUAUUUUAUACUCCUCAAAUGCCUUAAUAAAAAAUUUUGGUUUGAGCUAGUCAAACAGAUGUCAUAGCAGAAAUAAGCCAUACUGUUUUAUGACCACACAAUGACCUUGACUUUGCCA
Molecule: long non-coding RNA, 9096 nt
Organism: Gallus gallus (chicken)
Lineage: Eukaryota; Metazoa; Chordata; Aves; Galliformes; Phasianidae
Exons: 3
Source: RefSeq, a predicted model, not a curated record